AAUGAACGUUGGCGGCAUGGAUUAGGCAUGCAAGUCGAGCGAGAAGUGUAGCAAUACACGGAAAGCGGCGGAAGGGAGAGUAAUACGUGGGAAUCUGCCCUUAGACCUGGGAUAGCAGCGGGAAACUGCUGGUAAUACCAGAUAAUGUCUAUGGACCAAAGGUGUGAUUCCGUCUAGGGAUGAGCCCACGUCCUAUUAGCUAGUUGGUAGGGUAAUGGCCUACCAAGGCGAUGAUGGGUAGCGGGUGUGAGAGCAUGACCCGCCUCACUGGGACUGGGACACUGCCCAGACACCUACGGGUGGCUGCAGUCGAGAAUCUUCGGCAAUGGGCGCAAGCCGUACCGAGCGAUGCCGCGUGCGGGAUGAAGGCCUUCGGGUUGUAAACCGCUGUCGAGGGGGAGCAACUUCCAUAGAGUUAUCUUUAUGGAUUGAGUGAUCCCUGGAGGAAGGACGGGCUGAGUUCGUGCCAGCCGCCGCAGUAA
This 482-nucleotide ribosomal RNA is filed under the name uncultured bacterium. RNAcentral's name for it is "partial 16S ribosomal RNA". It matches the Rfam family "Bacterial small subunit ribosomal RNA", at positions 29 to 523 of the family's 1533-position model. The record is from RNAcentral.